This 276-nucleotide ribosomal RNA is filed under the name uncultured bacterium. RNAcentral's name for it is "partial small subunit ribosomal RNA". It matches the Rfam family "Bacterial small subunit ribosomal RNA", at positions 26 to 285 of the family's 1533-position model. The record is from RNAcentral.
AGAAUCAACGCUGGCGGCGUGCCUCAGACAUGCAAGUCGAACGCGAAAGUCCCCUUCGGGGGAUGAGUAGAGUGGCGUCCGGGUGAGUAACACGUAGGUAAUCUACCUUUGGGUGGGGAAUAACAACCGGAAACGGUUGCUAAUACCGCAUAAUGCAGCGGCACCGCAUGGUGACAGUUGUUAAAGCGGGGGAUCGCAAGACCUCGCGCCUAAAGAGGAGCCUGUGGCGGAUUAGCUAGUUGGCAGGGUAACGGCCUACCAAGGCAACGAUCCGUA